CCUACGUGAGGCUGCAGUAGGGAAUCUUCCACAAUGGGCGAAAGCCUGAUGGAGCAACGCCGCGUGGGUGAAGAAGGUCUUCGGAUCGUAAAACCCUGUUGUUAGAGAAGAAAGUGCGUGAGAGUAACUGUUCACGUUUCGACGGUAUCUAACCAGAAAGCCACGGCUAACUACGUGCCAGCAGCCGCGGUAAUACGUAGGUGGCAAGCGUUAUCCGGAUUUAUUGGGCGUAAAGGGAACGCAGGCGGUCUUUUAAGUCUGAUGUGAAAGCCUUCGGCUUAACCGGAGUAGUGCAUUGGAAACUGGGAGACUUGAGUGCAGAAGAGGAGAGUGGAACUCCAGGUGUAGCGGUGAAAUGCGUAGAUAUAUGGAAGAACACCAGUGGCGAAAGCGGCUCUCUGGUCUGUAACUGACGCUGAGGUUCGAAAGCGUGGGUAGCAAACAGGAUUAGAUACCCGGGUAGUC
Molecule: ribosomal RNA, 465 nt
Filed under: uncultured bacterium
Lineage: Bacteria
Description: partial 16S ribosomal RNA
Rfam family: Bacterial small subunit ribosomal RNA
Source: RNAcentral